This 674-nucleotide ribosomal RNA is filed under the name uncultured bacterium. Its description in RNAcentral is "bacterial SSU rRNA". It matches the Rfam family "Bacterial small subunit ribosomal RNA", at positions 43 to 706 of the family's 1533-position model. The record is from RNAcentral.
CAGGCUUAACACAUGCAAGUCGAGGGGCAGCAUGGUCUUAGCUUGCUAAGGCCGAUGGCGACCGGCGCACGGGUGAGUAACACGUAUCCAACCUGCCGUCUACUCUUGGACAGCCUUCUGAAAGGAAGAUUAAUACAAGAUGGCAUCAUGAGUCCGCAUGUUCACAUGAUUAAAGGUAUUCCGGUAGACGAUGGGGAUGCGUUCCAUUAGAUAGUAGGCGGGGUAACGGCCCACCUAGUCUUCGAUGGAUAGGGGUUCUGAGAGGAAGGUCCCCCACAUUGGAACUGAGACACGGUCCAAACUCCUACGGGAGGCAGCAGUGAGGAAUAUUGGUCAAUGGGCGAGAGCCUGAAUCAGCCAAGUAGCGUGAAGGAUGACUGCCCUAUGGGUUGUAAACUUCUUUUAUAAAGGAAUAAAGUCGGGUAUGGAUACCCGUUUGCAUGUACUUUAUGAAUAAGGAUCGGCUAACUCCGUGCCAGCAGCCGCGGUAAUACGGAGGAUCCGAGCGUUAUCCGGAUUUAUUGGGUUUAAAGGGAGCGUAGAUGGAUGUUUAAGUCAGUUGUGAAAGUUUGCGGCUCAACCGUAAAAUUGCAGUUGAUACUGGAUAUCUUGAGUGCAGUUGAGGCAGGCGGAAUUCGUGGUGUAGCGGUGAAAUGCUUAGAUAUCACGAAGAA